UCCAGACUCCUACGGGAGGCAGCAGUGGGGAAUAUUGCACAAUGGGGGAAACCCUGAUGCAGCAACGCCGCGUGAGUGAAGAAGUAUUUCGAUAUGUAAAGCUCUAUCAGCAGGGAAGAAGAUGACGGUACCUGAGUAAGAAGCCCCGGCUAACUACGUGCCAGCAGCCGCGGUAAUACGUAGGGGGCAAGCGUUAUCCGGAUUUACUGGGUGUAAAGGGAGCGUAGACGGUGAUGCAAGUCAGAAGUGAAAGCCCGGGGCUCAACUCCGGGACUGCUUUUGAAACUGUGUGACUGGAGUGCAGGAGAGGUAAGCGGAAUUCCUGGUGUAGCGGUGAAAUGCGUAGAUAUUAGGAGGAACACCAGUGGCGAAGGCGGCUUACUGGACUGUAACUGACGUUGAGGCCCGAAAGCGUGAGGAGCAAACAGGAUUAGAUACCCUUGUA
This 445-nucleotide ribosomal RNA is filed under the name uncultured bacterium. RNAcentral describes it as "bacterial SSU rRNA". It matches the Rfam family "Bacterial small subunit ribosomal RNA", at positions 330 to 792 of the family's 1533-position model. The record is from RNAcentral.